AUGGAGUCCAAGGCGGCGAGGUGCCUCUGCAUGCUGGCGAUGCUCCUGGUGGCCGGGCUCGGGGCGGCGCGCGGCGCCGGGGAGUGCGGCCGCGUCCCGGCGGACAGGAUGGCGCUCAAGCUGGCCCCGUGCGCGGCGGCCACGCAGAACCCGCGGGCCAAGGUGGCGCCCGGCUGCUGCGCGCAGAUACGCAGCAUCGGGCGCAGCCCCAAGUGCCUGUGCGCCGUCAUGCUGUCCAGCACCGCCCGCCAGGCCGGCGUCAAGCCCGCCGUCGCGAUGACCAUCCCCAAGCGCUGCGCCCUCGCCAACCGCCCCAUCGGCUACAAAUGCGGCC
RNAcentral lists this ribosomal RNA (334 nucleotides) under Triticum aestivum (bread wheat). RNAcentral's name for it is "partial small subunit ribosomal RNA". Lineage: Eukaryota; Viridiplantae; Streptophyta; Magnoliopsida; Poales; Poaceae. The record is from RNAcentral.